This 253-nucleotide ribosomal RNA is filed under the name uncultured bacterium. Its description in RNAcentral is "partial 16S ribosomal RNA". It matches the Rfam family "Bacterial small subunit ribosomal RNA", at positions 524 to 776 of the family's 1533-position model. The record is from RNAcentral.
GACGAACCGAGCGACCGUUAUUCGGAAUCACUGGGCUUAAAGGGUGCGUAGGCGGGCUGUCAAGUCUGGGGUGAAAUCCCACGGCUCAACCGUGGAACUGCCUUAGAUACUGAUGGCCUCGAGGAAGGUAGGGGCAUGCGGAACUGUAGGUGGAGCGGUGAAAUGCGUUGAUAUCUACAGGAACUCCGGUGGCGAAAGCGGCGUGCUGGACCUUUUCUGACGCUGAGGCACGAAAGCUAGGGGAGCAAACGGG